AUACCUUUCUCGGCCUUUUGGCUAAGAUCAAGUGGAGUAUCUGUUCUUAUCAGUUUAAUAUCUGAUAUGUGAGUCAUCGACUCACACGAUAUUAACUCAAUUUUUUAAGGAGGAAGGUCCAUCACGAUAGCUUGCUAUCGCGGCCUUCAAGCGUCGCCUUGGUAUUGCACUACUGUCUUGCCUUGGGGCACUCCAC
This 196-nucleotide small nuclear RNA is filed under the name Nicotiana attenuata. Its description in RNAcentral is "snRNA U2". It matches the Rfam family "U2 spliceosomal RNA". Rfam says of the family: U2 is a small nuclear RNA (snRNA) component of the spliceosome (involved in pre-mRNA splicing). Complementary binding between U2 snRNA (in an area lying towards the 5' end but 3' to hairpin I) and the branchpoint sequence (BPS) of the intron results the bulging out of an unpaired adenosine, on the BPS, which initiates a nucleophilic attack at the intronic 5' splice site, thus starting the first of two transesterification reactions that mediate splicing. Lineage: Eukaryota; Viridiplantae; Streptophyta; Magnoliopsida; Solanales; Solanaceae. The record is from Rfam by way of RNAcentral.